RNAcentral lists this ribosomal RNA (490 nucleotides) under uncultured bacterium. RNAcentral describes it as "partial 16S ribosomal RNA". It matches the Rfam family "Bacterial small subunit ribosomal RNA", at positions 30 to 507 of the family's 1533-position model. The record is from RNAcentral.
AUUGAACGCUGGCGGCAGGCCUAACACAUGCAAGUCGAACGGUAACAGGAAGCAGCUUGCUGCUUCGCUGACGAGUGGCGGACGGGUGAGUAAUGUCUGGGAAACUGCCUGAUGGAGGGGGAUAACUACUGGAAACGGUAGCUAAUACCGCAUAACGUCGCAAGACCAAAGAGGGGGACCUUAGGGCCUCUUGCCUUCGGAUGUGCCCAGAUGGGAUUAGCUAGUAGGUGGGGUAACGGCUCACCUAGGCGACGAUCCCUAGCUGGUCUGAGAGGAUGACCAGCCACACUGGAACUGAGACACGGUCCAGACUCCUACGGGAGGCAGCAGUGGGGAAUAUUGCACAAUGGGCGCAAGCCUGAUGCAGCCAUGCCGCGUGUAUGAAGAAGGCCUUCGGGUUGUAAAGUACUUUCAGCGGGGAGGAAGGGAGUAAAGUUAAUACCUUUGCUCAUUGACGUUACCCGCAGAAGAAGCACCGGCUAACUCCGUG